Molecule: ribosomal RNA, 252 nt
Filed under: uncultured bacterium
Lineage: Bacteria
Description: partial 16S ribosomal RNA
Rfam family: Bacterial small subunit ribosomal RNA
Source: RNAcentral
GAUCAUGCUCAGGAUGAACGCUAGCUACAGGCUUAACACAUGCAAGUCGAGGGGCAUCAGUUUGGUUUGCUUGCAAACCAAAGCUGGCGACCGGCGCACGGGUGAGUAACACGUAUCCAACCUACCUCAUACUCGGGGAUAGCCUUUCGAAAGAAAGAUUAAUAUCCGAUAGCAUAUAUUUCCCGCAUGGGUUUUAUAUUAAAGAAAUUCGGUAUGAGAUGGGGAUGCGUUCCAUUAGUUUGUUGGGGGGGG